Molecule: long non-coding RNA, 473 nt
Organism: Hydractinia symbiolongicarpus
Lineage: Eukaryota; Metazoa; Cnidaria; Hydrozoa; Anthoathecata; Hydractiniidae
Exons: 2
Source: RefSeq, a predicted model, not a curated record
AUGUCGAAACAUAAAGGCGUCAAUGCGCGUUGAUUGUGGCUACCAUGGAAUUAGUCCGUUGGAUUGCUUGAGAAAGGGAUGUUGUUAUGGCGAAUUAAAGGUGGCUGGCCCGUGGUGUUAUCAUCAAAAAGCAAACUGUCCCAUGAUUGAAGCAAACAAACGUGAAGAUUGUGGUUACCCUGGGAUAAGCAAAUCAGAUUGCGUCAAAAAAGGAUGCUGUUACAACGCAAUCAAGGAAAAGGGACCGUGGUGUUAUUACAGGCAAGGUAAGUUGUUCCGCUCUUACUGAUUAGGUAUUUUGAAAGCAUUGUGUACUCUUCCAUCCGUAAUUUUAGAAAAAUGCCGGAAAAUAGCAGCAACAAGACGUCAUGAUUGUGGUUAUCCAGGCAUAACGAAGCGGGCAUGCGAGAAGAAAGGCUGUUGUUAUAGUGAAUUGCUAAACCAAAGUGGACCGUGGUGCUACCACCGCCUAG